Lactuca sativa (garden lettuce) is the source of this 817-nucleotide long non-coding RNA. RefSeq lists it as uncharacterized. Lineage: Eukaryota; Viridiplantae; Streptophyta; Magnoliopsida; Asterales; Asteraceae. The record is from RefSeq and is a predicted model, not a curated record.
ACAUGGAUUCCUGGUUGAAGAAAUCAUUCAACCUUCGUUUUCAUCGAUCCAUACAAGUAGAACAAAGCUCAAAAAUGGUAGUAGUUCAAAGAGUCAAUCUGGGUUCAUAGGGUUUAUUGGUAUCAGGUUUGGGUUCAUGUCAGCUUUCUAAGGAGCCCCAAAGCCUGAACCUUACAUGAUCAAGAUCAUCUACCAAGCCAUUAGGGAACCAAAUCAUAGAACCAGGAAGAUGUAGAAGGUGAUUGAACUCGAAUUAGGUUCCAUUUCAUUGACCAUCAAGCUUUGGUUCCAGAAUAGAAGAUUAUGUUAUCUACUUGUUGGUGGGAUUUCUAUCAGUUUCAAUUUUAAUUUAAGGUGAACUGAUGAAGUGCACGUGAGGUGUUUGAUGAAAUGCUCGAGUGAGUGUAGACAAUAAUUUUUUUCAUCUUUUGGCUGUGUAAAGAUGAAGGUGGUAAGAUAGGUCCUCUGCAUCAUUGAUUCCAGUAAUCAUAUCUUUGAUGAUAUAAAAAUAUCACGUUCUCCUCGGUUAAUCAAUAAAAGAGAAUAUGACUAAAAGCAAGAAAUUUGUGUUAUUUACAAAGAAAGAUUAUUAGUUUCUGUACCCUUCAUUGGAUUUUCUGUUAUGAGCUCUCAACCACAGGAGUUGCUUUUUGCAUGUGCAAGGAACACAAGCAUUGAUCUAGUUCAAAGUUUGGAUCAUCAAAAGUUUUCCUUGAAAGUAUUUGCUUUACAGAUUGAUAAACAACUACCAACCACACCUUACCCUAUUAUAUUAUCUUUUGAUCGUGAGUAUAAACAAAUGGCAACCUUUCAGAUA